CGUGGGCCUCUCUGGUGAAGUGUUUAUCCUUGAUGCCAAGUCAGCACAGCGAGGGAUUAGAGGCCUGCAGAGAGAAACAACUUGCCUCACCCUGAAGAAAUUGCCAAAAAUAUGAUGCAGGGUAGACACUUCUCAGCUGGGGCUCAUUGUAGAAAGGCAGAGAGAGGCCAGGUGCUCAGUUGUUCUCAGGGAUGUUGAAAACCCCUUCCCUGUGCCUACUGUGGGAGAAGGCCGGGUAGGAGCGCGCGUCCUGAGGAACGUGAGUGGAGCCUGCUUUGCUGAGCCCUGCAUCCGUGCUGGAUUGGAACUGGCCUCCUUUCCUCGCCAUUUGAGGGACAUUCAACCAGUCUUGCUGGAGGGAAGUGAGCUUAGGGAGGUUCCCAGCUGAAAGGAGACAAUUCGUGUUCCCCAGCUGCCUCUUCACUUCAGGAUUCAGCCUAUGCACCUCUACAUUGUUGACCUCUGAAGCUAUUGAUUUCUGUAGCUGGAACACAUUCAAGCUGCAGAUGGAAAAAUCUGAUUUACCUUAUCACAAAAAAUGUUUGGUCCUUCUGUAAACUGCAUUUUUAAUUUUGGGGCUUACUUCAGGAAAAUAUUGGAAACAUUGCCUGUUUAUUAUUAACAUCUUAUUUAUUAUUUGCUAUCCAGAUACUUAAUAAAAAGUAAAUACCAAAAUAUUUUUUUUAGAAA
This 690-nucleotide long non-coding RNA is filed under the name Parus major (Great Tit). RNAcentral's name for it is "lncRNA (ENSPMJG00000018185.1)". The record is from RNAcentral. Lineage: Eukaryota; Metazoa; Chordata; Aves; Passeriformes; Paridae.